AAUUACCUCCUUCUGGGCAUUCACUUGUCUGUUCUACUCAUUACUUACUGGAUUAUGUUGACCAUUCUUGUGGCCAAAAUUUCCUGUGUUGUACUCUCUCUGAAUGGUGGCUGCAUUUGGCUCAAUUGACAAUUAUCAAACAGCAGUAAUGCUUGCAGGGCCAGGCCGUUGAAAUGAGGAGGGGAUACUUCCAAGUCAUAUCUAACAAGGCUAUUCUUGUCCUUUUCAGAUUCUGCAUUUGAAGCCAA
Molecule: long non-coding RNA, 248 nt
Filed under: Physcomitrium patens
Lineage: Eukaryota; Viridiplantae; Streptophyta; Bryopsida; Funariales; Funariaceae
Description: long non-coding RNA (PPAT_LNC009469)
Source: RNAcentral